Long non-coding RNA from Saccostrea cuccullata (small rock oyster), 2284 nucleotides. RefSeq lists it as uncharacterized. The record is from RefSeq and is a predicted model, not a curated record. The transcript has 3 exons. Lineage: Eukaryota; Metazoa; Mollusca; Bivalvia; Ostreida; Ostreidae.
UUACAGCCUUAGAUCACAUAUCAAAAUAAUUACCGGUAGUACUUCCUGGUGGUGUUAGGAAUACACGUGUGCAUUCUUACAGUGAACCACCAAUAAUAAACAGACAUGAGAAAUGAGCUGAAUCAUUAUAACAGAAAAUGGAACAAAAAUCGAACUUUUAUUCACCGUCCUUUGGGUUGCAGCAAAAGUGAUACAUAUGAACGGUUUGUUUUGUGAUACAGAGUAUGCGGGAUAUUGAGGACGUAUAUUACAAACCUUGGACUUCUCAGUACAUUUACAAAGGAGUCAAUCAAUCCAUGAUAUUACGCAGCAUUAGUUACUGAAAAGGAGUUUGGAACACCCUUGUGACGAAUCUAAAUAUUUUUCUCAACAUUGAAGCAACAAUAGUCUUGGAUAACUUGUUUUAGGAAAAGAAAACUGGCCUGAGUUUGUUUUUUGUCUGGAAAUUUGGAUCUUUUCCUUAGGAAAAAAUUCCACUACCGUCUAGAAGUUUUGGUAGAAAAGCUUUCCGUUUUGGAUUUCUUGCAAUCAGGGACAUAAGAGUGCAUCAGUGAUUUCUCUCUAUUGGAUACGCACAAAGCUUCUAGAUGCAGCGUUUUCUGUGAUUGGAAAAAAUAUAUGACAAGAAAGAUGCUCCACUACAUACCAAAGUUUUGAAUGCUGAAGUAACUGUGCAAGGAUACCAUAGGAUCUGUCCCUACGUGUUUAGUCUAAUAUACCACUAUUCAAUUCAUCCACACGUUCAAAAUGAAGGCGAGGGCAAUACCUGUGCACUCGAAACCAUCUCAUCAAACCUUAUUCACAUCAAUUUCAACGUAGCUAUUUAUGUAAAAACUAUAUGUAUAUAGAACUGUAUUUAGCCUUCCGGUGCCUUCGGAUAUUGGUCUUGUCUCACAAGAGCUGCGUAUAUCUUUUUAGAGCAAAAUACAUGGAGUAUUUUAUUUUUCUCACAAAAAACUGUAAGGAACCUACUAAAGGAAUGUACAUAGCCUUAGCCUCCAAGAAGAAAAGUUUUACUCUGGAGCUAGUAUUCUUUUCUUAGUAGAACUGAAUAAACCCUCUAGAGAAAUAUUACUCCACAGUUUUUCAAAUGAUAAUUGUACUAAGCCGUCUAGAGGAAUAUAACAGCAUAGUUCACAUUUUGUAUUACAAGAACUCUACGUAGAAUUCAAAGGAAUAUUACUCAUUUGUUCAUAUUUCGUCUAAUUAGGAAUGUACAAAGUCUCCUAGUGGUGUCGUAUUAGAAAUGUAUGUAAAUUUCGAGAGGAACACACCUUCGUAGUUCUGAUUUUGUCUAUAUAAGAAAUGAACAUAGCCUCCUAGAGGAAUAUAACUCCGUAGUUCAGAUUUUGCCCUAUCAGAAAUGUACAAAGCAUCAUGGAGGAAUAUUCCCCCGUAGUUCAGAUUUUGCCCUAUUGGCUAUUAGAAAUGCACAUAGACCUCUAGAGGAAUAUUCCUCCGUAGUUCAUAAUUUGUCUUAAAAGAGAUUAAUAUAGCCUCCUAGAGGAAUAUUACUCUGUAAUUCAGAUAUUGUCUUUUUAGAGAAUGAAGUACAUAUAGUCUCAUAAAGGAAUAAUACUCCUUAGUUCAGAUUUUCUUAUUUAGAACUGUACAAACUCCUAAGAUAGUUCAAUUUUUCCUUCAUAGAACUGUGCAUACAUAACCCUCUGGAGGAAUAUUACUAUGUAGAAAAGACUUUGUUUACCUCCACUUAUGCUGAGUUUUCACCUAGUAUUCUAGAUGUCUUUUUACAACUACACAAAUUCUAUCAGAUAUAUUAUUUACUCUGUAGUUAAUUUUCGUUUUGUAGAGGAUGUAAAUAAGAUUUUGUUUCAUUUGUGUCAUAAUAACCUUUUUGAGGAACCCCGUAUAUAUUUUGAAUUAUUAGAAUUGCAAUCUUUAAGAGAAAUAUUACUUUUUGGAUGAAAUUUUGUCUUUUUAGAACUCCUCAAAGUCUUUCAAUUGAAUAUUAUUACGUAGUUUAUUUUUUUGUUUAGUCAGAAUUGCAAUCCUCCAGAAAAAUAUUACUAGUAUUUCAAAGAUAUGUUUUUACCUCUAAGAGUUGUAAAUAUCUAGAGGAUUAUUACUCCGUCGAUAAACUUUCGUCGUAGUACAUGUAUAGCAUUACAUAGAGGAAUAUUACUCUGUGGCUCAGAUUAAGACUUAAUAGAACUGUGUAAUAUAAGCCUUCUGGGGGAAUAUUACUCCAUAGAUAAGUGUUUGUCGUAGCAGAUCUGUAAAUAGAAAACUUUUACUCCGUAGUUCAUAUUUUGUCUUAAUAGAC